CUUUAAUUUGAGGAAAUGGUCAUAGAGAUCCCUUUGUUUUCAUAAAUAGUGAUAUAAAUAGACGUUUUUUCUUUUUUAAUGUUUAGAAAGAGCUAUACAAACAUUUUUUUAAACACACAAACUCUUUUUUUUGUUUAGAAAUGACCAUUUAUGAAAAUAUGGGAGUCUGUAUCUAAAAAUUAUCACAAACUCAUAUAAAACCAUACAAAAGAACCUUGUUUUUAGAAAUUGUCACAUAGAGCUAAAUUCGUAUCUUUUGGUCAUGUGAUAAGAUUAUAUUAUUAUUUUUGUUUGAUUUUGUUUCAGCCCAAAAAUAUUAUAAGAGCUUGAUUUUGAAGGGUGGUUUUGUGAAUAGUAGGGGCUGAUUCACCUUAAAAUAGUUUUAUGGGGAUGAACAAAAUUGAGAUUGUCUUGAAAAUAAGAGAAAAUAGUUGUUAGAGGUAAUAUCGAUGGUGGCCGACUGUGGCACUCCAACAGUUGAGUUAGGUAAGUAUUUGGAAAGAUGUUGGAUUUUUAAGAAAUUUAAACAUCAGUUAAAAAUUGAAAGUUGUGAGGAAGAAACUGAAUUUGUUUUGCUGAGACUGGCAUAAUAUUAUACAAGUUGUGCCCAAGGACAUCUUAAUGUCUUAUUGGACAUGUGGCAGGCUGUAAAUAAGCCAUUCCUCUACUAAGGUAGGGGCUUUUAGGUAAUUUGACUAUUCAACUUAAGUCUCUUAACUUCUUUAGGCCUAGGCACAUGUCAAUUGUUAGACUGUCCUUAGUACUAGCAUGCGUUAAUCUCUAAUUGACUUAUUUUGAAUGAGCUAAUUAGGCUUUUGGAGAAGUUUUAUCUACUUUUAAUGGCUUAGAUAAAAAUUGAGUUGGUUCCCUCUCUCAUCUUGAUGCAUAUGACUGUUAGUGAGAUGAGAUAAUCCAUAUUAGAAUAAUAUCCUAGUGUCCUAUAGUAAUUUUGAUGGGGGGGCUGUCUUUGAUAUAGUAGUUCUUCAUCAAUAUGAGGCAACUUCAAGGUAUUUUGGGAGAUAAUCUUUGCACUUUCUAGGUUAAUAGUAUGGCUCACACUCUUUUCUUGGGAUCUUUUCAUUUUACGCUUACUCGUUAAAUUUCCUCUUCACUUUUUAUAAGGGCCAACUGGGCAUGAAACUACUGUACACAUGUCAUGCUCUAAUUGCAUUACCUAAAUUUUACCACCAACAAUUAUAUUUUACAUUGUCUUAUGUUUGGUAAUUGGUAUAAUACAUGAUUUGAAAAAGUUGUAUAAAUAAUUUUUGAAUUGAAUUAAUUAAAAAUGGGUGAAAACUAGCAAAAUAUUUAGAUAUUCAUUUAAAUUUAGAGAAAAAGACAACAACACCCCUUAGUUUGAAAAAAUGGUCACAAAGGCCCUUUUAUUUCCAUAAAUGAUUAUACAUAUAAUUUUUAAAGAUACAAAGACUCUUUUAUGUUUAGAAAUGGCCAUACGAGCCACUUUUUAAACAUACAAACUCCUUAUCGAGAACGAAAGUAUGUAUGCGACCAUUUAUAGGGAUGACAAAAAAGCCCGGGCCAGUCCUGUCCAUUCCUACAGGCUUUGGCCCGAGCCUUUCGUAUGAGGGAUUGGACAAAGGGGCUUAGGAAAAAAAGCCCA
Molecule: long non-coding RNA, 1621 nt
Filed under: Citrus x clementina
Lineage: Eukaryota; Viridiplantae; Streptophyta; Magnoliopsida; Sapindales; Rutaceae
Description: Citrus clementina (C. clementina) long non-coding RNA (CCLE_LNC000389)
Source: RNAcentral